RNAcentral lists this non-coding RNA (106 nucleotides) under Anaerotignum neopropionicum. RNAcentral's name for it is "Clostridium neopropionicum Glycine sequence". It matches the Rfam family "Glycine riboswitch aptamer". From Rfam's summary of the family: This family represents the bacterial glycine riboswitch. Glycine riboswitches usually consist of two metabolite-binding aptamers domains with similar structures in tandem. The record is from Rfam by way of RNAcentral. Lineage: Bacteria; Bacillati; Bacillota; Clostridia; Lachnospirales; Anaerotignaceae.
UUGAUACGCAAGGGAGAUCUUAUUUUUUGAGAUAAGAACCGAUGGAGCAAUCCAAAAGAGCCGUUUUUUGGAGAAACUUUCAGGUAAACAGAACCUUGGGUGGAUG